RNAcentral lists this ribosomal RNA (253 nucleotides) under uncultured bacterium. RNAcentral describes it as "partial 16S ribosomal RNA". It matches the Rfam family "Bacterial small subunit ribosomal RNA", at positions 524 to 776 of the family's 1533-position model. The record is from RNAcentral.
UACAGAGGGGGCAAGCGUUGUUCGGAAUUACUGGGCGUAAAGGGCGCGUAGGCGGCCUGUUAAGUCGAACGUGAAAUCCCCGGGCUCAACCCGGGAACUGCGUCCGAUACUGGCAGGCUUGAAUCCGGGAGAGGGAUGCGGAAUUCCAGGUGUAGCGGUGAAAUGCGUAGAUAUCUGGAGGAACACCGGUGGCGAAGGCGGCAUCCUGGACCGGCAUUGACGCUGAGGCGCGAAAGCCAGGGGAGCAACCGGG